GCAAGUCGAACGAAGCAUAGCAGCUUGCUGUUAUGACUGAGUGGCAAACGGGUGAGUAACGCGUGGGUAUCUACCUAUGAGAGGGGGAUAACUUUGGGAAACCAAAGCUAAUACCGCAUAAGCCCUGAGGAGGAAAGGAGCAAUCCGCUGAUAGAUGAGCCCGCGUUAGAUUAGGUAGUUGGUGGGGUAAUGGCCUACCAAGCCUACGAUCUAUAGCUGGUUUGAGAGGAUGAUC
Molecule: ribosomal RNA, 235 nt
Filed under: uncultured bacterium
Lineage: Bacteria
Description: partial 16S ribosomal RNA
Rfam family: Bacterial small subunit ribosomal RNA
Source: RNAcentral